This 335-nucleotide transfer-messenger RNA is filed under the name Parvibium lacunae. It matches the Rfam family "transfer-messenger RNA", at positions 82 to 374 of the family's 374-position model. Rfam says of the family: Bacterial tmRNA, also known as 10Sa RNA or SsrA, is named for its dual tRNA and mRNA-like properties. Its role is to liberate the mRNA from a stalled ribosome. Lineage: Bacteria; Pseudomonadati; Pseudomonadota; Betaproteobacteria; Burkholderiales; Alcaligenaceae. The record is from Rfam by way of RNAcentral.
GCAGCCGACUCACUCCCGCUGCUCAUGGCGCGGCUCUGGGCGUCUGUAGACCUCAAUGUACGGUGACGCGAAAAAAUCUGCAGGACUGGGUUGCGACUGCGCGGGAACUGCACUGAUUGGUCUCUGGGUCAGGUGGGGCAACCCACAGCAGCGUCAUACACAGAGACUCGAACACGGCUGGGUUACUUAGUCAGGUUCUAAACUUAAGGUGACUGGUGUGUGGUCGGCCUGCCUCUCGGCUAAGCCACACAUGAGAUUCAAGUAGAGCGGCUAAGUAUGUAGAACUGUUUGUAGAGGACUGACGGACGGGGGUUCGACUCCCCCCGGCUCCACCA